RNAcentral lists this ribosomal RNA (467 nucleotides) under uncultured bacterium. RNAcentral's name for it is "partial 16S ribosomal RNA". It matches the Rfam family "Bacterial small subunit ribosomal RNA", at positions 28 to 506 of the family's 1533-position model. The record is from RNAcentral.
GACGAACGCUGGCGGCGUGCUUAACACAUGCAAGUCGAACGGAAAGGCCCUGCUUUUGUGGGGUGCUCGAGUGGCGAACGGGUGAGUAACACGUGAGUAACCUGCCCUUGACUUUGGGAUAACUUCAGGAAACUGGGGCUAAUACCGGAUAGGAGCUCCUGCUGCAUGGUGGGGGUUGGAAAGUUUCGGCGGUUGGGGAUGGACUCGCGGCUUAUCAGCUUGUUGGUGGGGUAGUGGCUUACCAAGGCUUUGACGGGUAGCCGGCCUGAGAGGGUGACCGGCCACAUUGGGACUGGGAUACGGCCCAGACUCCUACGGGAGGCAGCAGUGGGGAAUAUUGCAAAAUGGGCGGAAGCCUGAUGCAGCAACGCCGCGUGCGGGAUGACGGCCUUCGGGUUGUAAACCGCUUUCGCCUGUGACGAAGCGUGAGUGACGGUAAUGGGUAAAGAAGCACCGGCUAACUACGU